RNAcentral lists this ribosomal RNA (878 nucleotides) under uncultured bacterium. Its description in RNAcentral is "bacterial SSU rRNA". It matches the Rfam family "Bacterial small subunit ribosomal RNA", at positions 28 to 922 of the family's 1533-position model. The record is from RNAcentral.
GACGAACGCUGGCGGCGUGCUUAACACAUGCAAGUCGAGCGGAAAGGCCCUUCGGGGUACUCGAGCGGCGAACGGGUGAGUAACACGUGAGUAACCUGCCCCAUGCUUUGGGAUAACCCUCGGAAACGGGGGCUAAUACCGAAUAUUCACUACAGGUCGCAUGGUUUGUGGUGGAAAGUUUUUCGGCGUGGGAUGGGCUCGCGGCCUAUCAGCUUGUUGGUGGGGUGAUGGCCUACCAAGGCGACGACGGGUAGCCGGCCUGAGAGGGCGACCGGCCACACUGGGACUGAGACACGGCCCAGACUCCUACGGGAGGCAGCAGUGGGGAAUAUUGCACAAUGGGCGGAAGCCUGAUGCAGCGACGCCGCGUGAGGGAUGACGGCCUUCGGGUUGUAAACCUCUUUCAGCAGGGACGAAGCGCAAGUGACGGUACCUGCAGAAGAAGCGCCGGCCAACUACGUGCCAGCAGCCGCGGUAAGACGUAGGGCGCGAGCGUUGUCCGGAUUUAUUGGGCGUAAAGAGCUCGUAGGCGGCUUGUCGCGUCGACUGUGAAAACCCGCGGCUCAACUGCGGGCUUGCAGCCGAUACGGGCAGGCUAGAGUUUGGUAGGGGAGACUGGAAUUCCUGGUGUAGCGGUGAAAUGCGCAGAUAUCAGGAGGAACACCGGUGGCGAAGGCGGGUCUCUGGGCCGAUACUGACGCUGAGGAGCGAAAGCGUGGGGAGCGAACAGGAUUAGAUACCCUGGUAGUCCACGCUGUAAACGUUGGGCGCUAGGUGUGGGGAACCUCUCCGGUUCUCUGUGCCGCAGCUAACGCAUUAAGCGCCCCGCCUGGGGAGUACGGCCGCAAGGCUAAACUCAAAGGAAUUGACGGGGGCCC